Molecule: ribosomal RNA, 142 nt
Filed under: uncultured eukaryote
Lineage: Eukaryota
Description: partial 18S ribosomal RNA
Rfam family: Eukaryotic small subunit ribosomal RNA
Source: RNAcentral
UGGUGGAGUGAUUUGUCUGGUUAAUUCCGUUAACGAACGAGACCUCGACCUGCUAAAUAGUUUGGCGAACCCUUCUGGGUUCGUACAACACUUCUUAGAGGGACUAUCGGUGUGUAGCCGAUGGAAGUUCGAGGCAAUAACA